RNAcentral lists this long non-coding RNA (900 nucleotides) under Equus caballus (horse). RNAcentral's name for it is "lncRNA (ENSECAG00000059437.1)". Lineage: Eukaryota; Metazoa; Chordata; Mammalia; Perissodactyla; Equidae. The record is from RNAcentral.
CGGCGCCCCCUUAAAACGAAACAGCGCAGACGGUGGGAGACCCUGCCACAAAGUUGGGUCUCAUCCUUCUGGCUCGUUUUCUGGGGCUGCGAUCUCCCUUCCUGACUGUGCAAACGACACCGAUUUUCCACCUCAGCUUGUGCUAAACUUGCCUUUGGCUCUUGCCGCAAAUGCUGGAAAGAUCAGGGUGACCCUUCCGGGCGGCAGCUUGGCCAAAAGGCCGGCGAGGGAGAAGUAAUUACCUCAGCAAUGACAGGCAGGCGGCACUGGAAACAGAGCCUACGGCCCUUGCUGAUGAGCUCAGAGAUGUCACCAGGUGCCACCAACGUUCACGGACAUCGCAGAGACCAACCAAGUGCAGACCUUGGGAGGCCCUGUGGGGUCCUAGAGACAGAGGCGCGGUCCGCGGGGAGGAGUCACAGCCUGAGCAUGGCCAGCGGUCGUGGUCAGAAGCAGCCUGUGGGUCGGUGCACCGAUAGUCCAGGGGCUUUCUCCUGCAAACCCCCUCUCCGGGGCUGCUUUGUUCUGCCUUCCCUCGUGGUCUCUCUGCUUCUCCUGAGUCUUGGCUCUUGUCCCGACAAGUUCAGGCUGGUAGUCUGGAGUCAGAGCCCCGGGCGGGAGGGAGGGGAGCGAGCAGAGAGCAGGAGCAGGGGCUGGGGCUGAGCUGCGAGGAGGGGCUCGGAAUCCGUGGCUAUGGAAGAGUCUAAGCCAGGGGAGUGAGCACGGACUGGGGCUGGUGGCCUCUCUAGUCGCUGCCUCAGUACCUUCUGUCUAAGCUUCCCUUCCCAGCUCUGAAGAGCACUUUGGGCAAACCCCAAGUUUUCUCACCACUUCAGACGCUCGAGUCCAGCUCACUCUCUGCAGUCUCCGUGGCCUUUAAUGAUUAUCUUUUCCCCUCCC